UUCAACAACAAACGCCGCGAGUGAUCGUUGUGGUCUCGGGAUUCCUCUUUUAUACGCCAAACAGGUGAGCUACAGUUCCCAGUUCUCGUUAAAUUUCACGCCAACACGCCACAGCUCAUCAUAGUGCCCACUGCCCAACAUAACAUCCACCAGUCCAAGCAGAAACCCCGCAUGCAGAAUGGAAGCGGAAAGGGCCGGGAAAAUGUCCGCCACCACCCCGCUGCCUCGCCUCCGACAACACCAAAUACCAGGAUCAAGUGUUUUCUCACUACUACAUACCCUCCUGCUGCUUGUGCUCGUGUCCUUCCCGUCACAUGACCCCCUCCAAUUCCUCCCAUUCCUUUCGCCUACAGGGCAUAAUGUUUCUGAAUGCUCGUCGAUGUUAGAUGGCGCCACUUACAACCAUUCAAAUUUCACCGAGGCGCCUUUGUUCUGGACUCUCCCUGUAGUCUCCCUGGUUGAAGGCGUGAAGUCUACAUCAUGAGGACGUCUGAGAAAGGCAAUGUACAGAGCGGGCAGACACGAGGAGAGCGGCCCUUGCGGGAGGUCGUGAGCGCUGCGUCGUCUGGCUGUUUUCCUAAGAUUGGGGUAGGCGUUGGCUGAGUGGUAGCGUGCUGGGCCCACAUUCCCCACGUGAUGGACGACGCGAGCUCGAAUUCCCACGCUACCACCUGGGAUUUUUAAGUCACCGCCGAGUAGCUCAAAACUACCCACAUGCUGUCCUGAAGACCAUCCAUCAACCCGGACUCUAAAGGAAACCGUCCAAGUGAAUCAAGAACGAGUUCCGGGGGGCAGCAUGAGCCAAGAGAAGAUGGCGCCACUAUAAACACUUGCCUGCGCCAUGACGGGCUGGGGCCGACUACCAGCUAGGCCCCUCAAGCAAGCCUACCGGCGCUAUAGGUGUAGACGUAAAAAAAAAAAAAAAAAAAAAAAGACUUGGGCUCACGUUUCCCUACGCUCUUUUAUUCUUUCCUGGAGUCAAUUCUUCGCUUAUUCAUAUAUUUUUUCAGCCUCCUCCGUGUGGGCGCGUUUAAUCCCUUUAAGAGGAUUACCGAAAUAACCACCACAAACUGUUUAUAACUUUUCUCUUUUGUCCUUAAAUUAAAAUGAAAAAAGGAGUUUAUCGCCUAAAAAGCAAAGGGAAAAUAAUAUUGGCUUAUAAAUCAUUAGAAAACUCAAUCUUAAAUCAAUCUUAAAGCUUUUGUUAAUACUGAAUGAUAUUAGAACUUAGCCAAAGUAUAAAUGAAACCGUUGGGUCGCAAAUAUUUAGUUACUUGUUAUGGGUGUAUAUAUAUUAUGCACAUCACAGCAAACUUCUUAAAGAAUAUAUCUCCUUUACAGCUAAUGGUAAAUCUCUUCAUUGUUCCGUUGUUAUGCAAUGUUAAAUAAAGCUCAUCAUUAGAGGAAGCAAGAAAACGAAUACUAUUUUUAUUAUAUCCGCUGGCUUUUUUAACUUUAUGCUAACCUAUGCAUAUUACAGUAAAACCGACUUAUUAUUAGAAAGCCACCCGCGUAUAGAAAACCAUAACUUUAUUUUUAAUGCUAAGAAACUCGCCUCCGAAAAGAGUGAGCAAGGUAGAAACAUUACCCCUUAAUUAAGUAUCUAGUAAUUGCUUUUGCCUUGUCAAACUUUAGCUAAUCAAAACUAAAUUACUAGUACCGAACUACCUAAACGACUAACCAUAAUUUAAGAAUGAUAUGAGUCCUUGAUUAAAGAUGGAA
Long non-coding RNA from Eriocheir sinensis (Chinese mitten crab), 1722 nucleotides. RefSeq lists it as uncharacterized. The record is from RefSeq and is a predicted model, not a curated record. Lineage: Eukaryota; Metazoa; Arthropoda; Malacostraca; Decapoda; Varunidae. The transcript is spliced from 3 exons.